GAUGAAGAACGUAGCGAAAUGCGAUAAGUAAUGUGAAUUGCAGAAUUCAGUGAAUCAUCGAAUCUUUGAACGCACAUUGCGCCCGCUAGUAUUCUGGCGGGCAUGCCUGUUCGAGCGUCAUUUCAACCAUCAAGCCCUGUUUAGGCUUGUGUUGGGGCCCUGCGGUUGCCGCAGCCCCCGAAAUACAGUGGCGGGCUCGCUAUCACACCGAGUGCAGUAGACUACUCUUCGCUCAGGGCGUGUGGCGGGUGCCGGCCGUGAAACCCCCUACUUUUAAAGGUUGACCUCGGAUCAGGUAGGAAUACCCGCUGAACUUAAGCAUAUCAAUAAGCGGAGGA
Molecule: unclassified non-coding RNA, 338 nt
Filed under: soil metagenome
Description: partial contains 5.8S ribosomal RNA, internal transcribed spacer 2, and large subunit ribosomal RNA
Rfam family: 5.8S ribosomal RNA (bases 1-120)
Source: RNAcentral